ACUGAACGCUGGCGGCAGGCUUAACACAUGCAAGCCGAGCGGAGAGAGGUAGCUUGCCACUGACCUUAGCGGCGGACGGGUGAGUAAUGCUUAGGAAUCUGCCCUUGGGUUCGGAAUAACUCGCCGAAAGGCGUGCUAAUACCGGAUGAUGUCGUAAGACCAAAGAUUUAUCGCCCAGGGAUGAGCCCGCGUAAGAUUAGGUAGUUGGUGAGGUAAAGGCUCACCAAGCCGACGAUCUUUAGCUGGUCUGAGAGGAUGAUCAGCCACACUGGGACUGAGACACGGCCCAG
Molecule: ribosomal RNA, 290 nt
Filed under: uncultured bacterium
Lineage: Bacteria
Description: partial 16S ribosomal RNA
Rfam family: Bacterial small subunit ribosomal RNA
Source: RNAcentral